Long non-coding RNA from Sarcophilus harrisii (Tasmanian devil), 2674 nucleotides. NCBI's taxonomy places the organism in Eukaryota, Metazoa, Chordata, Mammalia, Dasyuromorphia, Dasyuridae. The record is from Ensembl.
GUAUAGUAUAUACCAACAUAUUUAUAGCAAAUAUGUUACAGAAUAGCAGCAGUAGAAACAGUAGGUAUCACUUGGGGAAUCAAUGCAAAAACUACGGUAACCAAAUGUAAUAAUGUGUAGUAAGAAAAGACAAAAGGAAUUUACAGAAAUGUGUGAAGAUUUAACCAUAAAAAUAAGAUACACCCAAAAUUUGUAGUUUCAUUAAGGAUUCUUUGGGAACUUUUGUUCAAGAUUUUAUCAUAAAAAUUUUCUGAGAAGGCAGCAGAGGAUAGGACCAAAAGGACUUGGGUUUAAUUCCACCUUCUAGCUCUCCCACUCAAACUCCAAGGCUUUACUAUUUAGCUCUAAACCUAUGGUAUGAUUUGUAUGAAUUGGCCAAGAAGGAAAGAAGCAGAACCAAAGAAUAAUAAAUGCAAUAAUUCAGAUGAUUAAAUAACAGAUUUAGAGCUGGCAGGGGCAUUGAAAGCCAUUUAAGAACUUUAAGGUCUUAAAGUUAGCUUCAGAGAAGGGAUUUGAACCUGGGUCCUCUCACUUCAGUCAGUGCUCUUUCCACUAUUGUGCAUUGUUUCACUAUUAUCACAACAUAAAUGAGAUUAAUAACAGAAAGUCAAACUCUGAGGAUAGAAAGCAAAAUGUCUCUCUCUCUUAAUGGCACAAUGUGAAAUAUAUGGUCAGAUAAAGUUACAAUGUAAGGGUUUUGUGUGUGUGUGUGUGUGUGUGUGUGUGUGGAAUUCAUAAUUUCCUGUCAUAAAUGAAGAUUCAGUGGGAAUGGGACAAGGUUAAGAAAUGAUUUGUAUAAGACAUCAAUAAAAUGUAAUUUUAAAACAAUAAAAACCCCUUAAAAUGGAAGUUACAAUUCUUCCCCAACUGGUAAUCCAAAUGAUAUAUAAAGCAUAUGGUAUAUAGUUACGCCUGUCCUCGAGGAACUUACAUUGUAUAUAUAAACUCCUUGAGCAUAGCAAUGUUUUGUCAUUGUUUUGCCAUUGCCUAGCACGUUGCCAUACACACACACACACACACACGUUCAUAUAUAUAAUAGGCAUUUAAAUAAAGGUUUAUUGAAUUGGAGAAAAAAAGAAAUUAAAUCCAACUAUCAAGAUCAAAGUUAACAAGAAAACCUCCUCUAAGACUGCACUUUGUUUCACCAAAGCAAGAGAUGCUAUAUGUAUGUUUACAAGGGGCCACAAGACAGGGAAACCCAACAUUAUUGACCAAUUUCCUCUAUGUUGAGUAUACAAAAUCACAAUGUAAGAGUACUGCUAUUUUAGACAGAAAACAACAGCUGACAGCCAAUUUGGGAUAAGUGCCAAGCUGUAUUUGCUUGAUGUUGAGAGCAUAGUAUAGUGAAAAAAGAACUGGCUUUGAAUUUAAGAGAAUAAAGAUUCAAAUCCUGUUUCUGAUACCAACUGUGACUGUGGGCAAAUUAAAUUUCUGGAGGUAUUAGUUUUCUCAAUGUAAAAUUUUCUAGAUGGCUUUUGUGGUCUCCUCAAGUUCAAGAUUUAUGAUCUUAUCAAUUUAUCAAAUAACUUCAACAACAUAGCUUUUCAAAAAAAAAUGUCUAUUCUUAGUCAUAUUUCACAUUAAUCACUCAAAACAGAUUAAGACCAGGCUAUGCCUCUUUGAUACAUUAGCUAUUUAAGAAAUUUUUAAUGCUCUUAAUCUUACAUAAGCAUAUUUCAGUUGCUUUCAAUAGCAUAUACAAAGAUAUAUUUCAUGAGUGAAGUUAGUUCAGUACAUUUUAAACAUGUCAGUUUUCUUGGUUUGUAAUAUAUCAAUCACAAAAGAGAACAAAGCAAAAAAAUAAGCUGAAAUGAUCAAAUCCUUAGAUAUACUCUUAGUGGUAGGCCAGUCAAUUUAAAAAAAACAGACAUAAAGUCAAAUACUGCUGCUCUGUACAACUUAAGUAAUAGCCCCUUAUUUUGAAGCAGAAAGGGGGAAUAAUUGAAAAAAAAAAACCUGCACGCUAACAGUAACUGUGAUGUGUCUUAAGUAUAUCACUCAGAUGCUCUGCUUAGGAGUUUGGCCUUGCCAAAAAGGCAAUAAAAAUGACCAGAGUAAUACACAAAACAGCUGGAAGCCUGAAAUAAAAUCUCUAUAUAAAAGUCCCAAGCCAUUCACAGUUUAAAAUUGAUGUCUCCUUGCCUGAGAAUUAACCUAUAGUUUUCUUCUGAAAAAAUUCCCAAAUAUGGCAAGUAUCUAAUUGCAUUCAAGCAUCAAUUUUGCUUGUGUUUUGUUAAUAAUUAAAAAAAAAAUAUUUAUUUGUAUUUCUCAGUUUCUGCCUCAUAAAAAGUAUUUUUAUAGCUAUGUUUCAAACUACAAUUAACAUGCCUUUUUACAUACCAGUAGAAUCAUGUCCAAUUUUGCCAUUUGUGAAUAACUAUGACAAGAUACAAAAGCAUGUGUCUGCCAUAAAUAGCUCUGGCUAACAGUAAACUGCUCACACAGGGCAGAUCAAAUUCUCUAUAAGAGUAGCCUUUGGAACUCUACCAAAUCCCCCAACUAAUGUUAAAACUUGAUUAUCAAAAUCGUAUUCAUUUUAGUUUUUAGAAUUUAAAAAGAGUUUAUAAAAGAAACCCUGUACCAAGAAUAUUAUUAUAUUCUUCAAAGAAAGACUAUUUCCCAAGUUCUGUCCAACACAACAAAGGAAGACAAAGACUGCCAACUGUCUUGAAAU